Long non-coding RNA from Cheilinus undulatus (humphead wrasse), 1119 nucleotides. RefSeq lists it as uncharacterized. The record is from RefSeq and is a predicted model, not a curated record. Lineage: Eukaryota; Metazoa; Chordata; Actinopteri; Labriformes; Labridae. The transcript is spliced from 4 exons.
AUGGAUUAACAGGAAGAUGGACUUUUUUUUCACCCUAUUUCCCCUCAGCGUCUUUUGCAGAUGCUGGCGUCACAACAGAGCUGCGUAAAAUGUGCACAAGCCUGUCAGGAGUGAAGCGCAGCAGCGAGGCCUGUCUGUGUGCAGCCGACCUUUAAAGACGUGUGGGGCAAACCAGCGCUGCUCAUCUCUGCUGCAGACAAAAGAGGAGCUGGCAGACUGAAAACAAACCACUUAAGUGAUGCCACGGACCCAAUGUUGACUGGAAUGUCCUUCAGCCCCUGGUGAAUCAUGGGACGUACAGGCUGUCCCUGCAGGGUUUUGAGUUUCUUCAGUGUCGUAAAGCCAUCUGCAGAUGUGAAGGUGCAACAGGACUUUUGAGAAAGGAGGGGAAAAAUUCUGCUCUUUCCUGGAUGUACGCUAGAGAGAUACAAAAUAAGGAGGAUCAGCUUGGGUGGCAAAGUCACAACUACUCAAAAGCAAGUACUGAGGAUCCAUGGUGAGGAGGAUGACCUUCUGGGAACAGUCAUGAAUUUCUCCACACUUCCACUGAAGGCAGUGUAAGUGUAGAUUUCCUUUUCAGUGUGGAGUUAAGAUCAUAUCUCUAUAUACUUAGUAGCGCCAAUUUAUCUGAUAGCUCCAACCCCUCCCAGGCCCCAGUUCGAAAGAGAUGCAGAUUAUGAAAUGUUUUUAUCCCAUUUUACUGAAAAAGUGGAGUCCAUCAGGACUUCUGAUGACUUCCAUGACAUACUGCACGUACAACAAAACACAGUUUUAGUCUGUUUUAUCCUGUUACUCUGUCAUAGCUUUUAGAAACAGUAGCAUCCAUGAGAGUUCCCCCCAGCCCCUGAAUAAAAUACCCUCUAAAUUUAUAUUGAAAGUAAUGAGGUUCGUUUGGCCAUGUCUGCUUUGUGUUAUUAACAGCUUUCUGUCAAUGUUGCCUUUUAUAUAGAACAUUUUAAAAUAAAUAGUGUCUAAUCAACAUCUCACUGCACUGGACAGCAACUACAUAUCUGAAAACUUUCAAUCUGGUUUCCCCAAACCCCCCAGCACUGAGUAGUUCUAUUCUUAUUUAUGCAGCAGGAAGUUCUGUGUCUUUGCUGAUACACCGUGUUCCACAUU